UUCGACUUACUUCACUUUUUCUGGAGCCCACACGUAUCGUCUUCUCCUUGUCGUUUGUCAUCUUUGAACACUUGUAUCAAUUUUUAUAAUCGCCAAUGACCUAGCACUGUGAUGUUAUUUAUCCUGAAUGAAAUCUUGCACGUACAGCUCAAGGUUCAAGUCAAACAAAUGAACGAACUUAUCAGCGUAUAAACCUUUACGCCACAGUAGCAAAACUUAAUUAAUCUGAGAUGUAGAAAUCCUCGAACGCAACUGCUCCAAUCCACAAAGAGUCAACGAGCCAAAACACACCAAACCGCAUCAGUCAACCGAUCUGAACGAAGUGGAGCUGGGGAGAGAAAAAAUGUUGAUUACGAAAAUGUUAUCAGGUGCUUGAAAUGAGUGAAGGGGGUGCUGGGGCUAUUUAAAAAUGGUUGCAUUUUCGAGUACGUUGCCAUAUCUACAUUAAAGUAGAAAGAGAUCAAAGAUUAUCGAUACAAAUAAUUUUAUUGAUUGCAAUAAUUGUUUGCUCUAAAAAAACAUUAUAUUUGAUAUAUGUGUAUAAAUUAACGGUGAUUAAGUAAAGCAUGGAUAUUGGGAGCAUGUGUUGAAAUCCAAGUAGGAAAAUGUAAAAUGUAGAUAAAUAAAUGUAUAAAGGAUUAAGAUUUGAGAGCAUUCACCUGGUUCCAAUAAAUACGAUAGACGAGGUAAUGACAUUGCAA
Ceratitis capitata (Mediterranean fruit fly) is the source of this 701-nucleotide long non-coding RNA. RefSeq lists it as uncharacterized. The transcript is spliced from 2 exons. The record is from RefSeq and is a predicted model, not a curated record. Lineage: Eukaryota; Metazoa; Arthropoda; Insecta; Diptera; Tephritidae.